CUGCGAACGGCUCAUUAAAUCAGUUAUCGUUUAUUUGAUAGUACCUUUACCUACUUGGAUAACCGUGGUAAUUCUAGAGCUAAUACAUGCUAAAAGUCCCGACCCCUGGAAGGGACGUAUUUAUUAGAUAAAAAACCAAUGCUCUUUUGGGCUUCUUGGUGAUUCAUGAUAACUUUACGAAUCGCAUGGCCUUGUGCCGGCGAUGGUUCAUUCAAAUUUCUGCCCUAUCAACUUUCGAUGGUAGGAUAGUGGCCUACCAUGGUUUCAACGGGUAACGGGGAAUUAGGGUUCGAUUCCGGAGAGGGAGCCUGAGAAACGGCUACCACAUCCAAGGAAGGCAGCAGGCGCGCAAAUUACCCAAUCCCGACACGGGGAGGUAGUGACAAGAAAUACUGAUACAGGGCCCCUCUGGGUCUUGUAAUUGGAAUGAGUACAAUUUAAAGCCUUUAACGAGGAACAAUUGGAGGGCAAGUCUGGUGCCAGCAGCCGCGGUAAUUCCAGCUCCAAUAGCGUAUAUUAAAGUUGUUGCAGUUAAAAAGCUCGUAGUUGAACUUUGGGUCUGGGUGACUGGUCCCCCGAAUGGGAGUGUACUGGAACCCCGGAUCUUUCCUUCUGGAGAACCUCAUGCCCUUCACUGGGUGUGUUGGGGAACUAGGACUUUUACUUUGAAAAAAUUAGAGUGUUCAAAGCAGGCUUUUGCUCGAAUACAUUAGCAUGGAAUAAUAAAAUAGGACGUGCGGUUCUAUUUUGUUGGUUUCUAGGACCGCCGUAAUGAUUAAUAGGGAUAGUCGGGGGCAUCCGUAUUCGAUUGUCAGAGGUGAAAUUCUUGGAUUUUUCGAAGACGAACUACUGCGAAAGCAUUUGCCAAGGAUGUUUUCAUUAAUCAGGAACGAAAGUUGAGGGAUCGAAGACGAUCAGAUACCGUCGUAGUCUCAACCAUAAACUAUGCCGACUAGGAAUCGGGCGAUGUUUUCAAUUUGACUCGCUCG
This 989-nucleotide ribosomal RNA is filed under the name Octospora excipulata. RNAcentral describes it as "SSU rRNA". It matches the Rfam family "Eukaryotic small subunit ribosomal RNA", at positions 87 to 1082 of the family's 1831-position model. The record is from RNAcentral. Lineage: Eukaryota; Fungi; Ascomycota; Pezizomycetes; Pezizales; Pyronemataceae.